CCUACGGGAGGCAGCAGUGGGGAAUCUUGCACAAUGGGCGAAAGCCUGAUGCAGCGACGCCGCGUGAGGGAUGAAGGCCUUCGGGUUGUAAACCUCUUUCAGUAGGGAAGCAGCCCUUCGGGGUGACGGUACCUGCAGAAGAAGCGCCGGCUAACUACGUGCCAGCAGCCGCGGUAAUACGUAGGGCGCAAGCGUUGUCCGGAAUUAUUGGGCGUAAAGAGCUCGUAGGCGGUCUGUCGCGUCUGGUGUGAAAUCCUAGGGCUUAACCCUGGGCGUGCAUCGGGUACGGGCAGACUAGAGUGUGGUAGGGGAGACUGGAAUUCCUGGUGUAGCGGUGGAAUGCGCAGAUAUCAGGAGGAACACCGAUGGCGAAGGCAGGUCUCUGGGCCAUUACUGACGCUGAGGAGCGAAAGCAUGGGUAGCGAACAGGAUUAGAUACCCUGGUAGUCCAUGCCGUAAACGAUGGGCACUAGGUGUGGGAUCCAUUCCACGGGUUCCGCGCCGUAGCUAACGCAUUAAGUGCCCCGCCUGGGGAGUACGGCCGCAAGGCUAAAACUCAAAGGAAUUGACGGGGGCCCGCACAAGCGGCGGAGCAUGCGGAUUAAUUCGAUGCAACGCGAAGAACCUUAC
Molecule: ribosomal RNA, 630 nt
Filed under: uncultured Actinomycetes bacterium
Lineage: Bacteria; Bacillati; Actinomycetota; Actinomycetes
Description: bacterial SSU rRNA
Rfam family: Bacterial small subunit ribosomal RNA
Source: RNAcentral